CUGGGCGGGAGCUACACAUGCAGUCGAGCGGUAACAGAAAGUAGCUUGCUACUUUGCUGACGAGCGGCGGACGGGUGAGUAAUGCUUGGGAACAUGCCUUGAGGUGGGGGACAACAGUUGGAAACGACUGCUAAUACCGCAUAAUGUCUACGGACCAAAGGGGGCUUCGGCUCUCGCCUUUAGAUUGGCCCAAGUGGGAUUAGCUAGUUGGUGAGGUAAUGGCUCACCAAGGCGACGAUCCCUAGCUGGUUUGAGAGGAUGAUCAGCCACACUGGGACUGAGACACGGCCCAGACUCCUACGGGAGGCAGCAGUGGGGAAUAUUGCACAAUGGGCGCAAGCCUGAUGCAGCCAUGCCGCGUGUGUGAAGAAGGCCUUCGGGUUGUAAAGCACUUUCAGUCAGGAGGAAAGGUUAGUAGUUAAUACCUGCUAGCUGUGACGUUACUGACAGAAGAAGCACCGGCUAACUCCGUGCCAGCAGCCGCGGUAAUACGGAGGGUGCGAGCGUUAAUCGGAAUUACUGGGCGUAAAGCGUACGCAGGCGGUUUGUUAAGCGAGAUGUGAAAGCCCCGGGCUCAACCUGGGAACUGCAUUUCGAACUGGCAAACUAGAGUGUGAUAGAGGGUGGUAGAAUUUCAGGUGUAGCGGUGAAAUGCGUAGAGAUCUGAAGGAAUACCGAUGGCGAAGGCAGCCACCUGGGUCAACACUGACGCUCAUGUACGAAAGCGUGGGGAGCAAACGGGAUUAGAUACCCCGGUAGUCCACGCCGUAAACGAUGUCUACUAGAAGCUCGGAGCCUCGGUUCUGUUUUUCAAAGCUAACGCAUUAAGUAGACCGCCUGGGGAGUACGGCCGCAAGGUUAAAACUCAAAUGAAUUGACGGGGGCCCGCACAAGCGGUGGAGCAUGUGGUUUAAUUCGAUGCAACGCGAAGAACCUUACCUACACUUGACAUACAGAGAACUUACCAGAGAUGGGUUUGGUGCCUUCGGGAACUCUGAUACAGGUGCUGCAUGGCUGUCGUCAGCUCGUGUUGUGAGAUGUUGGGUUAAGUCCCGCAACGAGCGCAAC
This 1068-nucleotide ribosomal RNA is filed under the name Pseudoalteromonas sp. JS6. RNAcentral's name for it is "bacterial SSU rRNA". It matches the Rfam family "Bacterial small subunit ribosomal RNA", at positions 36 to 1102 of the family's 1533-position model. Lineage: Bacteria; Pseudomonadati; Pseudomonadota; Gammaproteobacteria; Alteromonadales; Pseudoalteromonadaceae. The record is from RNAcentral.